RNAcentral lists this ribosomal RNA (491 nucleotides) under uncultured bacterium. RNAcentral's name for it is "partial 16S ribosomal RNA". It matches the Rfam family "Bacterial small subunit ribosomal RNA", at positions 29 to 507 of the family's 1533-position model. The record is from RNAcentral.
GUGAACGCUGGCGGUAGGCCUAACCCAUGCAAGUCGAACGGCAGCACAGUAAGAGCUUGCUCUUACGGGUGGCGAGUGGCGGACGGGUGAGGAAUACAUCGGAAUCUACUUUUUCGUGGGGGAUAACGUAGGGAAACUUACGCUAAUACCGCAUACGACCUACGGGUGAAAGCAGGGGAUCUUCGGACCUUGCGCGAUUGAAUGAGCCGAUGUCGGAUUAGCUAGUUGGCGGGGUAAAGGCCCACCAAGGCGACGAUCCGUAGCUGGUCUGAGAGGAUGAUCAGCCACACUGGAACUGAGACACGGUCCAGACUCCUACGGGAGGCAGCAGUGGGGAAUAUUGGACAAAGGGCGCAAGCCUGAUCCAGCCAUACCGCGUGGGUGAAGAAGGCCUUCGGGUUGUAAAGCCCUUUUGUUGGGAAAGAAAAGCAGCAGGUUAAUACCCCGCUGUUCUGACGGUACCCAAAGAAUAAGCACCGGCUAACCUCGUG